AUUGAACGCUGGCGGAAUGCUUUACACAUGCAAGUCGAACGGCAGCACGGACUUCGGUCUGGUGGCGAGUGGCGAACGGGUGAGUAAUGUAUCGGAAUGUGCCCAGUCGUGGGGGAUAACGUAGUGAAAAUUACGCUAAUACCGCAUACGAUCUAUGGAUGAAAGCGGGGGAUCGCAAGACCUCGCGCGAUUGGAGCGGCCGAUAUCAGAUUAGGUAGUAGGUGGGGUAAAGGCCCACCAAGCCAACGAUCUGUAGCUGGUCUGAGAGGACGACCAGCCACACUGGAACUGAGACACGGUCCAGACUCCUACGGGAGGCAGCAGUGGGGAAUUUUGGACAAUGGGCGAAAGCCUGAUCCAGCCAUUCCGCGUGCAGGAUGAAGGCCCUCGGGUUGUAAACUGCUUUUGUACAGAACGAAAAGGUUUCUACUAAUACUAGGAGCUCAUGACGGUACUGUAAGAAUAAGCACCGGCUAACUACGUGCCAGCCGCCGCAGUAA
Molecule: ribosomal RNA, 500 nt
Filed under: uncultured bacterium
Lineage: Bacteria
Description: partial 16S ribosomal RNA
Rfam family: Bacterial small subunit ribosomal RNA
Source: RNAcentral